UUUUAAGCACUUUGCUCUAGUCAUAUCUAUAAACUUUAUUAAUAAAUUAGCAAAUGAACAUUUCUUGUAACCAUUUUGAGGAGAACAGGUUGGUAUAAUGAUAAGUGUUUACCGACUAAAAUGGGCAAAAUAUAUGGACUUCAAGAGGCAUUUAAACCAUAACCUUGCAUUGUAAAGAAAUCAUUUUCAGACUCUAACGUGAUGAAAAAAAUAUCCUAUGUUUAUCUUAUGUUUAUACCCUUGCUACAAAAAAAAUAAUUGUUAAGGUAAUUGUAUAAAUUACAUACACG
Molecule: non-coding RNA, 290 nt
Organism: Pelobates cultripes (western spadefoot toad)
Lineage: Eukaryota; Metazoa; Chordata; Amphibia; Anura; Pelobatidae
Source: the annotation of a GenBank genome assembly